Molecule: long non-coding RNA, 540 nt
Filed under: Homo sapiens (human)
Lineage: Eukaryota; Metazoa; Chordata; Mammalia; Primates; Hominidae
Description: HSALNT0258075
Source: RNAcentral
GCGCUGCGUCGGGGGACGGGGCUACAAGCCGUCGCUGGGGGCGGGGCUUGCGGCCCACCUGUAGGUCCCGGUGCCACCUCGUCAGUGUCCCGAGAGAUCCCCAGAAGAACGAGAGGGCUGAACAGGGGACCCCACUGACGUCCGGUGGGCCGACUUUACGAUCCUUUAGGGCUAUGAAGUCAGAGCUAUUACUAUCAGCAUUUUACCCAUGAAGAAACCGAGGUUUAGAGAGAUUCUUUUCCAGGAACUGGAUAGCCAGCAAGAUGUGAAGCAGGGUGAAGAAACUAAGACUCAGAGAAGACAAAUGACAUGCCCAAAGACACAUUGAUAAGAACGCAUCUGGUAGUGGUGUUCGAGUCCAGCGUUGCAGCAGAGAGAUGGGUAACUGUAUGGCCGAACAGCUGUCUUCUCGUGGAAGAAGGAGGCCAAUGUCCAGGAGUGGCAGGCAUACUGGAACUUGGACUUCUGUAGGCCAACCUGGGUUCCACUUGGUAGAUGGGGGUCUUGCUGUGUUGCCCAGGCUGGUCUCAAACUCCUGGC